Molecule: ribosomal RNA, 253 nt
Filed under: uncultured bacterium
Lineage: Bacteria
Description: partial 16S ribosomal RNA
Rfam family: Bacterial small subunit ribosomal RNA
Source: RNAcentral
UACGAAGGGGGCUAGCGUUGUUCGGAAUUACUGGGCGUAAAGCGCGCGCAGGCGGCUAUCCAAGUCAGUGGUGAAAGCCCGGAGCUCAACUCCGGAACUGCCAUUGAAACUGUUUAGCUUGAGGACGAGAGAGGUGAGUGGAAUUCCCAGUGUAGAGGUGAAAUUCGUAGAUAUUAGGAAGAACACCGGUGGCGAAGGCGGCUCACUGGCUCGUAUCUGACGCUCAGGCGCGAUAGCGUGGGGAUCAAACAGG